Molecule: ribosomal RNA, 497 nt
Filed under: uncultured bacterium
Lineage: Bacteria
Description: partial 16S ribosomal RNA
Rfam family: Bacterial small subunit ribosomal RNA
Source: RNAcentral
GACGAACGCUGACGGCGUGCCUAAUACAUGCAAGUUGAGCGAUGAAGAUUGGUGCUUGCACCAAUUUGAAGAGCAGCGAACGGGUGAGUAACGCGUGGGGAAUCUGCCUUUGAGCGGGGGACAACAUUUGGAAACGAAUGCUAAUACCGCAUAACAACUUUAAACAUAAGUUUUAAGUUUGAAAGAUGCAAUUGCAUCACUCAAAGAUGAUCCCGCGUUGUAUUAGCUAGUUGGUGAGGUAAAGGCUCACCAAGGCGAUGAUACAUAGCCGACCUGAGAGGGUGAUCGGCCACAUUGGGACUGAGACACGGCCCAAACUCCUACGGGAGGCAGCAGUAGGGAAUCUUCGGCAAUGGACGAAAGUCUGGCCGAGCAACGCCGCGUGAGUGAAGAAGGUUUUCGGAUCGUAAAACUCUGUUGGUAGAGAAGAACGUUGGUGAGAGUGGAAAGCUCAUCAAGUGACGGUAACUACCCAGAAAGGGACGGCUAACUACGUG